UACGGGAAACUGUAGCUAAUACCGCGUAGWAUCGAGAGAUGAAAGUGUGGGACCUUCGGGCCACAUGCCRUAGGAUGAGCCCAAGUGGGAUUAGGUAGUUGGUGAGGUAAAGGCUCACCAAGCCGACGAUCUCUAGCUGGUCUGAGAGGAUGACCAGCCACACUGGGACUGAGACACGGCCCAGACUCCUACGGGAGGCAGCAGUGGGGAAUAUUGCGCAAUGGGGGCAACCCUGACGCAGCCAUGCCGCGUGAAUGAAGAAGGCCUUCGGGUUGUAAAGUUCUUUCGGUAGCGARGAAGGCAUUUAGUUUAAUAGACUARGUGAUUGACGUUAACUACAGAAGAAGCACCGGCUAACUCCGUGCCAGCAGCCGCGGUAAUACGGAGGGUGCGAGCGUUAAUCGGAAUAACUGGGCGUAAAGGGCACGCAGGCGGUGACUUAAGUGAGGUGUGAAAGCCCCGGGCUUAACCUGGGAAUUGCAUUUCAUACUGGGUCGCUAGAGUACUUUAGGGAGGGGUAGAAUUCCACGUGUAGCGGUGAAAUGCRUAGAGAUGUGGAGGAAUACCGAAGGCGAAGGCAGCCCCUUGGGAAUGUACUGACGCUCAUGUGCGAAAGC
Molecule: ribosomal RNA, 617 nt
Filed under: uncultured bacterium
Lineage: Bacteria
Description: bacterial SSU rRNA
Rfam family: Bacterial small subunit ribosomal RNA
Source: RNAcentral